Molecule: ribosomal RNA, 86 nt
Filed under: uncultured bacterium
Lineage: Bacteria
Description: partial 16S ribosomal RNA
Source: RNAcentral
CACAUCACGAAAGUGGAUUGUACUAGAAGUCUGCAGGCUGACCCGCAAGGGAGGCAGCGGCCCAAGGUAUGAUCCAUGAUUGGGUG